This 547-nucleotide ribosomal RNA is filed under the name uncultured bacterium. Its description in RNAcentral is "bacterial SSU rRNA". It matches the Rfam family "Bacterial small subunit ribosomal RNA", at positions 355 to 896 of the family's 1533-position model. The record is from RNAcentral.
UAGGGAAUCUUCAAUGGACGGAAGUCUGACCGAGCAACGCCGCGUGAGUGAAGAAGGUUUUCGGAUCGUAAAGCUCUGUUGUAAGAGAAGAACGAGUGUGAGAGUGGAAAGUUCACACUGUGACGGUAUCUUACCAGAAAGGGACGGCUAACUACGUGCCAGCAGCCGCGGUAAUACGUAGGUCCCGAGCGUUGUCCGGAUUUAUUGGGCGUAAAGCGAGCGCAGGCGGUUAGAUAAGUCUGAAGUUAAAGGCUGUGGCUUAACCAUAGUAGGCUUUGGAAACUGUUUAACUUGAGUGCAAGAGGGGAGAGUGGAAUUCCAUGUGUAGCGGUGAAAUGCGUAGAUAUAUGGAGGAACACCGGUGGCGAAAGCGGCUCUCUGGCUUGUAACUGACGCUGAGGCUCGAAAGCGUGGGGAGCAAACAGGAUUAGAUACCCUGGUAGUCCACGCUGUAAACGAUGAGUGCUAGGUGUUAGACCCUUUCCGGGGUUUAGUGCCGUAGCUAACGCAUUAAGCACUCCGCCUGGGGAGUACGACCGCAAGGUUG